GGAAAUGUGGCUUAGAAGUAAAGUGCUUGCCUUGCAUGCAUGAAGUCCUGGGUUUGAUUCCUCAGUACCA
This 70-nucleotide transfer RNA is filed under the name Dipodomys ordii (Ord's kangaroo rat). It matches the Rfam family "tRNA". Rfam says of the family: Transfer RNA (tRNA) molecules are approximately 80 nucleotides in length. Their secondary structure includes four short double-helical elements and three loops (D, anti-codon, and T loops). Lineage: Eukaryota; Metazoa; Chordata; Mammalia; Rodentia; Heteromyidae. The record is from Rfam by way of RNAcentral.